This is a non-coding RNA of Leptonychotes weddellii (Weddell seal), 1356 nucleotides long. The record is from RefSeq and is a predicted model, not a curated record. Lineage: Eukaryota; Metazoa; Chordata; Mammalia; Carnivora; Phocidae.
GAUUUAACAUACAUGUAUUCUUUGAUUAAGUGGUUCCAUUGUUCAGAGAUCAAGAAUGAAAUUAAUAUAUUCCUUUAAUAGCUAACUGGGGCUUUUAAAAGGUGGUUUUGAUGAUGCCAAAUAAACAUUUGGAAGAUGUUCCUCUUUAUUUGUGUUUCCACAGAUCAUUAACUGAAGACGAAAUAAACAACUAUGCAAAAUUCUCACAUGGAUGAGUACAGAAAUUCUAGUAAUGGCAGCACAGGCAACAGUUCAGAGGUAGUGGUAGAACAGUCUGCUGAUUUCAGUACUGAGAUUAUGAAUGUUACGGAAAUGGAACAGUCCCCUGAUGGAUCUCCUAAUGUGAAUGCAACUACAGAAGAAAAUGAAAUAACAAAUGCUGUGGACCUUCCAGUGACAGAAACGGAAGCAAAUUUCCCUCCAGAAUAUGAAAAAUUCUGGAAAACUGUAGAAAACAAUCCUCAGGAUUUUACAGGCUGGGUAUAUUUGCUUCAGUAUGUAGAACAGGAGAAUCACUUGAUGGCUGCCAGGAAAGCAUUUGACAAAUUUUUCAUACACUAUCCGUAUUGCUAUGGUUACUGGAAAAAGUAUGCAGACCUUGAAAAGCGGCAUGACAACAUUAAACAAUCAGAUGAGGUGCGUACAUUACUGAAUAAAAUUAUCUCCAUUAGGUACUGUAAGCCAAAUAAUAACGAAACAAAAACUUUUUUUUUUUUUUUUUUGGCUGGCAGUACCUACGAUUUAUGGUCAAACAAUUUUAUAGGGUAUUUUAUUUGCAUUUGUCACUCUUGUGGCAUUUGUAGCUAAUAUUUUCUCUCUUUGUUGGCAGGUGCGUUAAACCUCUACAGUUUGUCAAGCUUUGCAGUGCAAGCCUCUGUAUUACACUGCAGCUUAACAAACGCUGUCAUUGAUGCUCUAAUGGGUCUGUGCCCUAUGGUCUGUAACCCAAAGCCUGCCCACACAACCCGGUCAGAAUGCAGGGACUGCUGCGCUUUGAAGAUCAAGACUCUGCACGUGGGGAUCAGAACAUUGCCAUGUUCUAUCCAACCUCCACCCAAAUGGUAAUGGUAGAUUAUUUAAACAAAAUUCCAGUAAUUAGUAUUUCUAAGGUUCACCGGAUAACACAGUGUUGCCUCUCUGUUAAGAAAUAAUUAAAUAUUUGAAGUACAGUUUGUUGUUUUCUUCUUAGGUGUAUCGUCGGGGGCUUCAGGCAAUACCUCUUAGUGUUGACCUAUGGAUACAUUAUAUAAACUUCUUAAAAGAAACAUUGGACCCUGGUGAAUCUGAGACAAAUAGUACAAUAAGAGGGUAUGCUAAACAUUGAUAUUUUCAAAUGCCUUCGAAGUAGAAAUAAGU